UGGAAAGGGAAGGAUUCGAACCUUCGACCUCCGGUAUCCCGGUGCGUGACCACUCCGCCUCCUUCCC
Ostertagia ostertagi is the source of this 67-nucleotide non-coding RNA. The record is from the annotation of a GenBank genome assembly. NCBI's taxonomy places the organism in Eukaryota, Metazoa, Nematoda, Chromadorea, Rhabditida, Trichostrongylidae.